Molecule: ribosomal RNA, 393 nt
Filed under: Triticum aestivum (bread wheat)
Lineage: Eukaryota; Viridiplantae; Streptophyta; Magnoliopsida; Poales; Poaceae
Description: partial small subunit ribosomal RNA
Source: RNAcentral
UGAGUUUCAGGUUCUACGUUAGAAGUGUAUCGAGUGUUUAUAAUUGGUCAUUUGUGAUGAACUAAGCACUACCGUAACCUGGUCUGUGUGUUGUAGGUCAAGAUAUUAUUCAUAUAAGCACUAACGUAACCUGGUCUGUGUGCCUCUACGAGCGAACAGCAGCUCCUCACAUCGAACAUUAGCUUCAACCGCGAUGUUUCGAACAAGAGUUUUGGCUGUUGGUUGAAUACCGCGUCCAAUAAUUGAGUCUACAAUAGCUGGCUAGGUCCAAACCAGGAGAACAGAUCCUCUAUUUCUUCUACUACACUCCGUAGCUGCUCAAGACUCACCGAACCCGGUCCUCUUAUCGUUUGUUUCGACGAGUCUAGAAUCGAUCCCUCCCAACGGAAAAUU